UAAUAAAGAGAACUCCCUUCUCAGAGGUUUGGGUGGGCUUCACUCUACAAAAUCCCAUGUCCUCUGGAUGAGCAUAACAGGACCACGAUGCCUGGGGAGGAGGGGUCCAGCUCACAUGUAGGGAUGGUGAUGAAACUCUCACUGGGUCAGAGCAAUGGAAGAUCAUUGUCAAGUAGGGGGACCAGAAAAUGCCUCACCAAGAUGAUGACAUUUUCGUAAAGCACCGCAGGAGGUGAGGGAGUGACCCAUGCUGCUAAGUGAGGGAGAGAGAGAGUAUGAUCAAGGGAGGAGCACAGAGAGAGGAGGACAGAGGAUCCAAAGCAGGCUCUGCGCUGACAGCAGUGAGCCCAAUGUGGAAGACAGAGGCAAACAAUAAAACAGACUUUUGACUAUGGAGAACAAACUGAGGGUUGCUGGAGGGGAAGUGAGCAAGGGGAUGGGUUAAAUGGGUGGUGUGUAUUAAGGGGGGCACUUGUUAUGAGGAGCACUGGGG
This is a long non-coding RNA of Suricata suricatta (meerkat), 493 nucleotides long. RefSeq lists it as uncharacterized. The transcript is spliced from 3 exons. The record is from RefSeq and is a predicted model, not a curated record. Lineage: Eukaryota; Metazoa; Chordata; Mammalia; Carnivora; Herpestidae.